RNAcentral lists this transfer RNA (85 nucleotides) under Bacillus sp. M6-12. RNAcentral describes it as "tRNA-Leu". It matches the Rfam family "tRNA". Rfam says of the family: Transfer RNA (tRNA) molecules are approximately 80 nucleotides in length. Their secondary structure includes four short double-helical elements and three loops (D, anti-codon, and T loops). Further hydrogen bonds mediate the characteristic L-shaped molecular structure. tRNAs have two regions of fundamental functional importance: the anti-codon, which is responsible for specific mRNA codon recognition, and the 3' end, to which the tRNAs corresponding amino acid is attached (by aminoacyl-tRNA synthetases). tRNAs cope with the degeneracy of the genetic code in two manners: having more than one tRNA (with a specific anti-codon) for a particular amino acid; and 'wobble' base-pairing, i.e. permitting non-standard base-pairing at the 3rd anti-codon position. The record is from RNAcentral. Lineage: Bacteria; Bacillati; Bacillota; Bacilli; Caryophanales; Bacillaceae.
GUGGGAAUGGUGGAAUCGGCAGACACAACGGACUUAAAAUCCGUUGCCUUCGGGCGUGAGGGUUCAAGUCCCUCUUCCCAUACCA